AAAGUUUUAACUUUUAUGUUUAUAAAAUUUGAUCAUGGUUUAUUAGUCGGUUCAAAAUGAUGUUAUCUAAUUUUGAUUCAUUAAGUGGGCAAUAUUUAUUUACCCCGGCAAUUUGUCGCUUGUACAAUUUUUGUUCCAGAAUAAUCGGCUAGACUUAAAUAAGCUUGUACUCUAAUUUUUGUAAAAUUAAGUAUUUAAAAAAAUUUUUUAUUUCUAGGGUAAAAUCAGGAAAUUUAAUAUUAUUUUACUUAAUUUAUAAGAUUUGAUAAACAAACCAGAUUAGUACCUGGUUAGACAAAAUUUAAAAGAGCAGGAGUAAAGUUAUAUUUAAACUGUAAGGAUAUUGGCAGGCUUUUUAAAUUAUCUUUGGAGGUUGAGUAGUAAUUGAGAACCCUCAUUUUCAUCUUCUAUUUUAGGCGCAUGUAUGAUCGUUUAUUUUAUUCUUAAGGAUUGUAAUCAUAAAUUUUUAUUUAUAAAAACAGAUAAAUACCUGGUUUAUAUAGAAGUUUAAAUUUGACCUACAAUAUUUAAUACAUUUGGAUUUUUACCUGAGACGGUAUUAUGAAAUUGUAAAAGACAGUAAAUCAUUUUUCAUAUAUGAUUGAAGUUUAUUUAAUAGCGGUACAAAUCAUCCAUCAAUUGCCCAUAGGGGAGUAAGUUGUAGUAAAGUAGGUUUAGGGGAACCUGUAUCUAGAAAAUUAAGAACUAAA
RNAcentral lists this non-coding RNA (710 nucleotides) under Steinernema glaseri. The record is from RNAcentral. Lineage: Eukaryota; Metazoa; Nematoda; Chromadorea; Rhabditida; Steinernematidae.